Molecule: ribosomal RNA, 117 nt
Filed under: Candidatus Rubidus massiliensis
Lineage: Bacteria; Pseudomonadati; Chlamydiota; Chlamydiia; Chlamydiales; Chlamydiaceae
Source: RNAcentral
GCCUGGUGGCACUAGAGAAGAGGAAAUACCUGAUCCCAUCCCGAACUCAGAAGUCAAGCUCUUCAUCGCCAAUGGUACUGCACACAAGAGUGUGGGAGAGUAGGUCGCCGCCAGGCU